UCUCUACUUUCCUUCUUUGUCCCGAAGAAAAACCCUGGCAAAACCAAUUUCACCAUAUUGUUCUUCCCUGCGAUGUUGCCUCUUCUUCUUUCCUCAACAUACUCACAUACAAGAUUUAGGGCAACAAUUGGAUAACUCACCACCACCGGCGAAAUACACUACAAUUUGCGACAUCACUACCACCGGCGACCUCACCACCACCGCUGGCGACUACAAAUUUUAGGUACUUCAAUUGAUCAAGGUGAGUCUCCCGAAUUUUAUGCUCAAAGAUACCCAGAAGAUCAUCCUGCAUUUGGAUUUUUCACUUGGAAGUGGGUUCUAACUCCCGGGUUCGACCACAUGUUCUCAUCGCCAAUUUUCUUGGGAACAUUGGCACUCUUGGCAUCAUCUCUAAUGGCCUAUACUUACACUACACAGAUUCCCUUGGUUAAGGUCGCACGAAGAUGGAAUUUUUUAAAGUCACCAGAGGCUGUUUACAAGCAUGAAUUUUCAGAAAAACUUCCCAGAGCCUCAGUUCAAGAUUUGGGUGUUGUUCUUAUGGAGGCUGGAUAUGAGGUAAAGUGGUGUUGUUUUGAUAGAUAAACUUUUGAGGUUUGGCUAGAAUACCUGGUUAUUAAAUGUGCUGAAUUUCUUUAUAUUUGAACAAAUUUGUCCUGUUCAAUAUGCACCAAGAUAUGAUUUCAUGGUUGUUAUAAAACAAAUUUCUGAAUUCCCAGUCUAAAAAAAGGAGCAAUUUCUAUAACUUGAGUCACCUUGACUAUGCACUCAAACCCUCUAAACUGAUAAGACUGCUUAAAAAAAAUUGUUAUCGUCUUUUAAGUGAAAGCAGCUUGUUAUGCACUCAAACCUGUGCAGUUGGUGAAGGAAAUAAUGCCCUUGGUCCAAGUAUACGCAUAUAAUAUUAAGUCUAAUAAAUGCGGUUCAGUAUUAAUUUACAAGUUAAUAAUUCAGUGAGAUCAAGUGAGCUGAAUGCCUAGCUAGAGGCCGCUUCAGUUCAAGUGGAAUUAAUUAUAUUAAUCCACAGCUUACUCUUGACUGAACCCGUAGGGUCACACAAAUAGUACGUAAACGGAUCAAGUAUUUAAUGGCAUUAAAUACUCCAUCUAUGGAUAUUCGGAAUCGACGGAUCUUGGUUUCA
This is a long non-coding RNA of Spinacia oleracea (spinach), 1138 nucleotides long. RefSeq lists it as uncharacterized. NCBI's taxonomy places the organism in Eukaryota, Viridiplantae, Streptophyta, Magnoliopsida, Caryophyllales, Amaranthaceae. The record is from RefSeq and is a predicted model, not a curated record. The transcript is spliced from 3 exons.